This 3869-nucleotide long non-coding RNA is filed under the name Piliocolobus tephrosceles (Ugandan red Colobus). RNAcentral's name for it is "lncRNA (ENSPTEG00000015739.1)". Lineage: Eukaryota; Metazoa; Chordata; Mammalia; Primates; Cercopithecidae. The record is from RNAcentral.
UUUGCUGUAUUAAUUAUUUGCUUAACUCCUUAUUUGUUUUUAUGAUUUUACACUUGGUUAUCUAGUAAUUUGUUUUUUUUUAUUACUCAUUCAUUCGUUUAAUUAACUUCCCAUUUUUCCAAUUACUCACUCGCUCGUUUUUUUAUUUGUUCAUUUUUUAUGUUUUCACUAAAACUAUUUGUAUAUAAAAAUUUUGUAAACAUGUUGUAUAUAUAUACACACUUACCUUAUUUGAGUAUACUUAUUAAGAAUCUAUAAUUACAUUAUGAAAUGCUUAAGAUUAUAAAUAUAAGUAUGUGUUAAACACAAUAUUAUUUUGUUUUUGUUACCUCGAUAUAUAUAAUAUAUAUAUAUAUAUAUAUAUAUAUUUUUAAUUUUAUAAAUCGUACUAAUAGCAUCAUAAAACAGAUAAAAAUUACAUAUAAUAAACAAAUUUGAGCUUUAAACAAACUAAAAUAUAAUAGAAAUUACAGACAUCCAAUAUAUAAAUAACAACAAAGUAUAAGUAACAUGGAAAAUGAAAAAAAUCAGUCUAAAAGCAUAUAAUUUGAAGCACGGAAGUGAAUUACUAGAAGGAGAGCGUUUACAUAUUUCAAAAAAUAUUAAAAAUAAAAUAAUAAUUAAAACUUUUUUCAUACAAAUAAAUUUACAUAAUUUUUUAAAAAAAUAUUAUAAAAAAAAAAAUGAAUACAACAAAAAGACAAGAACAAGCGAUUACAUAAUAAAACUACAAAACAAAAUAUAUAAAUUAAAAAAAAUAAAUACUUUGUGUAACAAAAAAAAUAAAGUACUAAAAAAUUAUAAAAGCUAUUAUAUAAACAAGUAUAAUACAUCUUCUUUUAUAUAUGAAAAUGAUAUCAUUAAUUAUGAUGUAUUCAAUACUGGUGCGUAUGUAAAUAAAAGUAAAAAAUGCUUUAAUAAAAAACAAUAUUUUUAUAUUCAUUUUACAAACAAAAAUGAGCAUAUUACAUAUAAUAAAAUUAAAACAAAUAUUGAUAAUAAAACUAAUUACAUAUCAACAAAAAAUAUAUAUAUUUACAACCAUGAAGAAAAAAACAAGGAUGUGAAUGGUUAUUAUUUGAACAAAGAUGAAAAGUUAAAUAUGUAUAAUGUAUUAAAUACGAACAAGCCCGUUAAUAUAUGUAUUUUUAUUAACAAUCAUUUUUUAUUUACAAGCGUUAUCAUAAAUGAGUUAUUAUUUGUUUAUAAUUUUUUAAACAAUGCAAUAUAUACUAACAAUAAUAGUAAUAAUAUACUAAAAAUUGUUAAUGAUAAUGUAAAUAAGAAUAUGCUACUUGGUUAUAUACGUUUCAUAAGUAACAACAUUGUUAAUAAAAUUAAAUAUACACGAAAAAGUUAUGUGAAUUGUAAAAAAAAUAAUUAUUUUUUUAUAUAUAUAUUUAUAAAAAAUGAUGAAAAAGCAAAUGAACACAAACAUAAAAAGUGUCAGAUAUAUAAUGUAAGUAGAAAUAUAUGUAACGCGAUUAAUUAUACUACUAACUCAUUUCGAAUUAAUAAAAGGGUAUUUUUAAAUAUUUUUAACAUAAAAAAUAACAGAAUUUACAUAAAAAAAGAAAAAAGAAAAAAUAAUUUAAUGAAUAAAAAAAAAAACAUAUCGAAUAAAUUUUUUUUUAAUAAAUUGAUUACUAAAAAAAACAGAAAUGAACAUUUUUAUUAUUUUAAAAGCUAUAGGAACAAUAAUAUAUAUUAUAAAAAUAUACAGAGAAUAGAAAAUUAUAACAACCUUAGUAAAAAUAUAUAUAAUGGUACAUCUUUAUAUACUGUUAUUUACGAGAAUUAUAACGAUAAUAAAAAAGAUACAAAGGGUUCUUUAUUCAAUUUAUGCUUUUACAUUAUAAAUGAAAGUAAUGAUAAUAAAGUAGCUAUACCAAAUGGUGCAUUUUUUAAUUUAAUCAAUUUUAGCAUUAUUUGCAAAUAUAUUAGAAAUAUUAUUUUAAUUUCGCUAACUGAAAACUCACAACUAAAAAGGAAAUGUUUUUUUAGCAGCACUAAUAAUAAAAACAUGAAUAGCAAUAGUAGCAAUAAUUAUAACAUAAAUAAUAACAAUUCACUAAAUGGUACGAAUAAUAAUAAUUGUAAUAAUAAUAAUGAUGAGAUUAAUAAUAGUAGUAAUAAUAAUAACAAUAAUAGUAGUAACUAUAACAACUCUAGUAAUCAAAACGACCAUUUUGGGGACGAUAAAAACGAAAGCAGUGACAGUGAUGACAGAAGUAUGAGUAGCGAUGAUAACGAUACUAGUAGUGAUGGCACUGAUACAAGUAGUGAUGGCACUGAUACAAGUAGUGAUGAUAAUGAUACUAGUAGUGACAUCACACAGAAAAAUUAUAAUACCAGUAAAAGUAAUCAUAAGUUUUUAUAUAAUAGAAAAAACAAAAAGAUUAAUAAACAGUUAAAUGAUCAAAAAAAAAAAUAUAACAAUAAAAGUUUUGGUUCCUAUAAUAUUAAUAAUCUAUCCUUAUCAGUUAAUAAUAUGUCGAAAAAAAUAAGAGCGUAUUAUUCGGAUAAUGAAUAUAGUCAACUCCAUGAUUCUUUAAAAGAUGUAAUAUAUGAAGCAAAAGAAAAAAAUAUAAUUGUAAAUGAUGAUGCUAAUGACAACAGCAUUAAUGACAACAGCAUUAAUGACAACCACAUUAACAAUAACCAAAACGAUAACAAAAACGAUGACAAAAACGAUGACAAAAACGAUGACAAAAACGAUGACAAAAACAAUGACAACAGCAAUAACCAAAACAGUGACAAUGACAAUAACCAACGCAAUGAUAAUAAUUACAACAGUAUUGCAUUAAAUGAAAAAAAAUCAACCAUACUAAAUAAAUUAAAAUCAUAUAGUAGUGAACAGGUUAAAAAAAUAAACCAAAUAAGUAGAGGACAUUUUACUCAUGUGUUUAAUAAAACAAACCACAGUGAAUGUAUCGAAGAUACUAAUCCUAUAUAUAACAAAGAUAAAAUAUACAGAAACUGUACAAAAAGCAAAUCAAGCUAUGAUCUACCCUACAAUUAUUGGAAUGUCAAUUCUGAAUAUAUUUAUAAUAAUAGGAAAAGUAAAACAUAUGAAUUUCAUUCAGUAAUAGAUAAAUGGAGCAUCAAAAGAAAAAAAGAGUUUAACCUUUUGCAGCAAAAUAUACAAGAAAAUAAUUUCUUUUUAAAUAAUAUAUUAUAUAAUCAUACUUUAAUUAACAAUAACGAAUUAAUGAAUGAAGAUAAAAGAACAAAUAUCAACAUUAAUGGCAAUAUUAACAAUGUUGCAAAUAUGGAUAGUAUUAACAUUAACAACAAUAUGAACAAUGCUAAUGUUAACAAUUAUAUUAAUUUUGUUGAAAAUAAUGUAUACACUCAGAAUGAUCAAAAUGGAGAAUUUCAAAGAGAAAUUGAAAAUAAUAAUUCACAAAAUAAUAAUGUUUUUUUAGAUCUAAGUGAAAUGAAUGAUUAUAAAUAUAACAUUUUGAAGACUGCCGAUUAUAAUAAUAAUACGGAAUUAAUAAAAAAUAAUACAGAAGCUAACUGGGAUGAAAGUGGUAUGAGUUAUUAUAGGGAUUACUAUUCUAUACAAAGUUUGAAUGAGGAUAUAUUAAAAAACGAAACCUUUCCAUUUAUAUUUUACGAUAAUAAUAUUCGUAAUUUAGUUAUAUAUUAUAAAGAUGUUAACGAUGUUAAUUUAAUUAAAUCUAAAAAAUUUUCAGCACAAAGAUUUGGAUAUGCAGUAGCGAAAAAAAUUGCAUUAAAUUUUUUACGUUCUAUGGGAUGUAAUGUUGAUUAUUUAGAGCAUAACAAUGUUUUUUCUUAUGAAAAAUAUAUUAAUAGUAAAAUUUGUUAUAUUUCUAAUAAAAAUCAAAAAUCUAUAAAUACAG